UACGGAGGGUGCAAGCGUUGUCCGGAUUUAUUGGGUUUAAAGGGUGCGUAGGUGGCCCGUUAAGUCCGGGGUGAAAGCCCACUGCUCAACAGUGGAACUGCCCUGGAUACUGGCGGGCUUGAGUCCAGACGAGGUUGGCGGAAUGGAUGGUGUAGCGGUGAAAUGCAUAGAUAGCUUCCAGAACCCCGAUUGCGUAGGCAGCUGACUAGGCUGGUACUGACACUGAGGCACGAAAGCGUGGGGAGCGAACAGG
RNAcentral lists this ribosomal RNA (253 nucleotides) under uncultured bacterium. RNAcentral describes it as "partial 16S ribosomal RNA". It matches the Rfam family "Bacterial small subunit ribosomal RNA", at positions 524 to 776 of the family's 1533-position model. The record is from RNAcentral.